This 440-nucleotide ribosomal RNA is filed under the name uncultured bacterium. RNAcentral describes it as "partial 16S ribosomal RNA". It matches the Rfam family "Bacterial small subunit ribosomal RNA", at positions 338 to 795 of the family's 1533-position model. The record is from RNAcentral.
CCUACGGGAGGCAGCAGUGGGGAAUAUUGCACAAUGGGGGGAACCCUGAUGCAGCAACGCCGCGUGGGUGAAGAAGUACUCCGGUAUGUAAAGCCCUGUCAGCAGGGAAGAAAAUGACGGUACCUGACCUAGAAGCACCGGCUAACUACGUGACAGCAGCGGCGGGAAUACGUAAGGGGCAAGCGUUAUCCGGAUUUACUGGGUGUAAAGGGAGCGUAGACGGCAAGGCAAGUCUGGAGUGAAAGCCCGGGGCCCAACCACGGGACUGCUUUGGAAACUGUGUUGCUGGAGUGCAGGAGGGGUAAGCGGAAUUCCUGGUGUAGCGGUGAAAUGCGUAGAUAUUAGGAGGAACACCGGUGGCGAAGGCGGCUUACUGGACUGUAACUGACGUUGAGGCUCGAAGGCGUGGGGAGCAAACAGGAUUAGAUACCCGUGUAGUC